CGUUGCCUAUCAGUAUCAAUUCAUUAU
This 27-nucleotide non-coding RNA is filed under the name Rattus norvegicus (Norway rat). The record is from RNAcentral. Lineage: Eukaryota; Metazoa; Chordata; Mammalia; Rodentia; Muridae.